UUGAAAUAAACCUGAUGAGUUGUUGCUGGUUCUCUAGAGAGCAUUGUGCACGCUUGUCAUCUUUAUGUCUCCACCUGUGCACAUUUUGUAGACCUGGAUCACUCUCUGAAAUGCUAACCAGCAUUUUAGGUUGGAGGAAUUUGACUUUGUUGUCUUUCCUUGCAUUUCUAGGUCUAUGUUCUUUUUCAUAUAAUCUUAUUUGUGAUAUAAUGGACCCUAUUAUAAACCUAUA
This 232-nucleotide unclassified non-coding RNA is filed under the name uncultured Cortinarius. Its description in RNAcentral is "sequence contains ITS1". Lineage: Eukaryota; Fungi; Basidiomycota; Agaricomycetes; Agaricales; Cortinariaceae. The record is from RNAcentral.